AUGGUGGACGCGGUGGAUGCUCGUCGGGUGUGCGGGAUGCCGGAGAAGGCGCAGCUCCACGUGGUGAUGCUGGCGCUGCAGUUCGGGUACGCCGGCUUCCACGUGGUCUAUUUGCCCCUCAACAUGGGCAUCGGCAAGCUCGUCUUCCCCGUGUACCGCAACAUCAUCACGCUCAUCCUCCUCGUCCCCUUCGCCUACUUCCUCGAGAAGAAGGACCGGCCCAAGCUCACCCUCAACUUCGGCUUCUACCUGCUGGGCCUGGACAACACGUCGCCGACGUUCGCCCCCGCCAUCCAGAACUCCGUGCUGGCCAUCACCUUCACCAUGGCCGCCGCGCUCCGAAUCGAGAAGGUAGUGGGCACGCUGGCGUGCGUGGCGGGCGCAUCGGUGAUCACGUUAUAUAAGGGCCCAACCAUCUUCGGCCCUGUGCCGUUUCUGGCAGCGGUGGCCGGGGAGGGGAAGAACUGGACGCUGGGGUGCGUGUACCUGAUCGGGCACUGCCUGUCGUGGUCCGGAUGGCUGGUGCUGCAGGCACCGGUGCUCAAGAAGUACCCCGCGAGGUUGUCAGUCACCUCCUACACCUGCUUCUUCGGUGUCAUCCAGUUCCUCGUCAUCGCCGCCUUCUUCGAGAGGGACGUCGACGCGUGGGUUUUCCACUCCGGCUCCGAAAUCUUCACCAUCCUCUACGCCCUAGCAGCUGACAUGGCAAAUGAAAACGGUAAUGCGGGCUUCAUCGCGUCCGGCGUGGCGUUCGCAGUGCAGAUCUGUUGCAUCGACCGCGGGGGCCCGGUGUUCGUGGCGGUGUACCAGCCCGUGCAGACGCUCGUCGUCGCCAUCAUGGCCUCCAUCACCCUCGGCGAGAAGUUCUACCUCGGCAGCGAGGAGAGGUCGCGCAACGGCAAGGAAGCGGCGGCCAUGGCCGUGGCGUCCGCAGCUUUCUCUGGCGGCGAGCGCGAGGUCCGGAGCGCCAAGCUGGGCUCCUCCAUCACCCAGCCUCUCCUGCCGCCUUCCUCAACUACCUCCGACAACGUCUGA
RNAcentral lists this ribosomal RNA (1035 nucleotides) under Triticum aestivum (bread wheat). Its description in RNAcentral is "partial small subunit ribosomal RNA". Lineage: Eukaryota; Viridiplantae; Streptophyta; Magnoliopsida; Poales; Poaceae. The record is from RNAcentral.